Molecule: ribosomal RNA, 378 nt
Filed under: Triticum aestivum (bread wheat)
Lineage: Eukaryota; Viridiplantae; Streptophyta; Magnoliopsida; Poales; Poaceae
Description: partial small subunit ribosomal RNA
Source: RNAcentral
GGCGUUGGCAUCUUCCACUACGUCGGCGGCACGGCUACCGAACCGGCCAAAGUCCUCACCCCCAAGGACGCCGCCGUUAAGGAGACCUCUGGGCCGAAUCCUCUCCAUCCGAUCUGGGUGAGGGAGGACCAGCAGGUCCUUGGAUACCUGCUCCAAAACCUCUCCAAGGAGGUGCUCGUCACGGUGACCACGAUCACCACGGUGCGCGAACUCUGGGUGGCACUGGCGAGCAUGUUCUCAUCGCAGUCACUCAGCCGUGUCAACAACAUCCGCACAACGCUGAUCAACGCACAAAAGGGAAAUCAAUCGGUGGCCUCCUUAUUCGCCGCCAUGAGGGGUCUCACCGAUGAACUCGCCGCGGCCAGAAAACCCAUCUAG